Molecule: ribosomal RNA, 426 nt
Filed under: uncultured Azoarcus sp.
Lineage: Bacteria; Pseudomonadati; Pseudomonadota; Betaproteobacteria; Rhodocyclales; Zoogloeaceae
Description: bacterial SSU rRNA
Rfam family: Bacterial small subunit ribosomal RNA
Source: RNAcentral
GGGGAAUUUUGGACAAUGGGCGCAAGCCUGAUCCAGCCAUGCCGCGUGAGUGAAGAAGGCCUUCGGGUUGUAAAGCUCUUUCGCAAGGGAAGAAAACGUGUGGGCUAAUAUCCUGCGCGGAUGACGGUACCUUGACAAGAAGCACCGGCUAACUACGUGCCAGCAGCCGCGGUAAUACGUAGGGUGCGAGCGUUAAUCGGAAUUACUGGGCGUAAAGCGUGCGCAGGCGGUUGUGUAAGACAGGUGUGAAAUCCCCGGGCUUAACCUGGGAACUGCGCUUGUGACUGCACGGCUAGAGUACGGCAGAGGGGGGUGGAAUUCCUGGUGUAGCAGUGAAAUGCGUAGAUAUCAGGAGGAACACCGAUGGCGAAGGCAGCCCCCUGGGCCUGUACUGACGCUCAUGCACGAAAGCGUGGGGAGCAAACA